This 98-nucleotide non-coding RNA is filed under the name Pimelobacter simplex. RNAcentral describes it as "Glycine sequence". It matches the Rfam family "Glycine riboswitch aptamer". From Rfam's summary of the family: This family represents the bacterial glycine riboswitch. Lineage: Bacteria; Bacillati; Actinomycetota; Actinomycetes; Propionibacteriales; Nocardioidaceae. The record is from Rfam by way of RNAcentral.
CGAUGCUGCACGGGAGAGUCCAGUCUCCACCGUGAGGCUGGCGCCGAAGGGGCAAUCCCUCCCCGGAACCUCUCAGGCGCCAGGACCGUGCAGAGCAG